RNAcentral lists this long non-coding RNA (2978 nucleotides) under Homo sapiens (human). Its description in RNAcentral is "HSALNT0352966". The record is from RNAcentral. Lineage: Eukaryota; Metazoa; Chordata; Mammalia; Primates; Hominidae.
CCUGAAUUGCAGGCAUUUCUUCAGUCCUAAACAGAAAAUGCUAGCAUGCCUUGCUACUUUAAGUGGAGGACGAGAGCUUGAUAAUCAUUCCUGGAAUAGUUCACAGAACAAAAUAUUAGAUGGGAAGUUAACUGACGCAGAGGAGAGAGGACCAAAUGGUGAAGUGGUAACAUCACUAUCUACAGAACAACCACCAUGCUGCUAGUGGAUACUGCAAGAAGAGAGAAGCAACAGGAACUAAAGAAAAACAGAAACAUUUUGUGAAGUCUGAUGUGUCCAGAAAAAGGGUUCCUAGGAAUUUCUUGCAGGAUAACUGACUGCUGCAGAAAGAAUACCAGGAAAACGGCUGGACACCAGAACUUCCUUCAGUACUUGCUACACUGGAAAUAGUACAGGUUGGGUCCUACACUGCAACCUAAAAGGAUGUGGGAUCAUGUUGAUUAAUCUGCCAAAGGAUUUGAUCUGGUAUCUUCCAUCAAUGGAGCACGUAAUUGCUGUUUUCUCAUCUUUCUUCUUUUGAAGAAGUAUUAUCGAAAACAGGAUUCAGGGGACAGACAGAUCUGAUUCCAACUCUCAUCUUGCACCACUUAUGGGAUAGGAAGCAUGGUACAUAUUAGGUUUUCCCCUUAAAAUAAACAUAUGAUUAACAUACUACCUGUGAAGCACAGGGCCUGGCAGUGUGUGCAAGUGACAAAUAAAGAAUGGCUAUUACCAUUGUUGUUAUUAUAGAAGACUCAAGGCUUUGUCAAACACAUGUUAUAAAAGGUCAAUGAAGACAGUAGCAUCUUCCUAAUUUACUAAUCUCAAUUGCCAAACCAGCCACAGGAAGUACCCUCUUCAAAUACUGGGGACUUUUUUGAAAGCUAAUGCAAGUCUAAAUACUCAUAUUUCAUCAGACUAUUACUUCAUAAGAUUUAGUAAGGAUGGCAGUAACUCCUAAGAUGAUCAGAGAUGAGUGUCAGCUAUGGACUUAGAACUCCAUUAUUCCUAAAGAUAAAACGCUGUUCAAUUCAAGCCCCAUGCCAGAGAUUACAUAAGAAUUCCUGGAUAACUAUUUUGUUUAUUUUUUAAAAAUAAAUUCUCUGCUGGCAAAACUUUUUUUUAGUAAAAUUAUCUUUAGUUCUUAUUAGCAACAUUCUCUUUACAGAAAUGAAGUAUGUUUUUUAAAAAUCUUGAAAACCAAAUGUUUUAUUUGACAGACACGUUUUAUGAUCUUUUCAAAAACCCAUUCUCAUCCGUCAUUUUCUGUUUAUAAAAGCAAGUACCUCUGGCUGCCUACCCAACAUCCCCUCUCCAUUAAACAUUUGCCAGCAAAGGCCCAAAUCAGUUAGGGCACCCAUCCCCUCAUGUGCAUCAAGGGGUGGUGGCCCUCAGUUCAGACUCGAAUGUUGAAUCCUGAAUUGGACCAUUGCUGCAAGUCCAAAUUCCCUAGUGACUGAGCUGAGCCUGUGAAGCAGUUCUGACUGUGAGACUCAGGGAAGAACUGAUAUUGGAGGUGGCCAUGUGAUAUUGGGAGCCUGUUAGAAGGGCUCUGGGGAAGUUUUCCUUGCUCCCAAGAAGAAAACACUGCAAGAGAGAGACCUUUUUGUCUCUAGUCUGGCUGCAUAUGGCUGUGGAGCUGGAAGCCCUGUGGCGGGCUUGCUAAGGGCCUAAGGCAACAGGAUCCCAAAGAGGCUGCAGCCAGGGCCCUGAGCUGACAUCUGGAGCCUUCCCUACCACUGGACUGCUCCAUACAUGAAGGAAUGCAUUUUCUUCUUGCUGAAACCAAUUAGAAGUGGGUGUUUCUGCUACCAGCAGCCUGCUGAAACACCGUUUCAUAGAUGAUUAUUAAUUUUAUUUUAAUCUAGUAUUACAGCUGAAAGUUUAUUUUGAUAAAUGACAUCACAUUUGCACAAAUGAAUAAACAGAUGACCUUUCCCCUUUUAUUUACUCCUUUUCAUCAUAAGUGUAAUAUAUACUCCCUUCUGAAAAAUCACUUUUAAAUUUCAUAAAUGAACUGACUGAAGUCUGAGAUUUCCAAAAACUAGUGUCUUCAUUUUUAUUAAACUUACAUCUACUCUGGUUUGGCAGUUAUUUACAAAAGCUAAGGAAAACUCCAUGACUACAUAAGCCCAUAGUAUUCUUGAUAAGAAGAAGGUUGGAAAGAUUUAUUGCAACCUCUGAGCUGUGCUUUCAUUCUGUAGGUAUUCAGUGCCUCAUGGAAUUGGAGGAUUCUUGUUGAAAAUUGAUCUUUUAUUUUAUUGUAUUUCUUUCUUUAAUUUUUUAGAGACAUGCUCUCACUCUGUUGCCCAGGCUGGAGUGCAGUGGCACAAUAAUAGCAACCUUGAACUCCUGGGUUCAAUCUUCCUGCCUUAGCCUCCUAAGUAGCUGGGCCACCAAAUGAGCAUGCCAUUAUGGCCCAUUAAUUUUUAAAAAUUUUUUUGUAGAGACAAGUCUCACUAUGUUGCCUGGAGGAGUCCUGAACUCCUUAGCUCAAGUGAUCCUCAUGCCUCAGCCUUUUCCAAGUGCUGGGAUUACAGGCAUGAGCCACAACAUCCAACCUCUUUUAAGCCUUUUCCAGAGUUCUUGUCAAAGGCUCCAGGUUUUUCACACUUUACCCUCCAUUAGUAUCUCAAGAACCCUGUGGGGUGAAUAUGUGUGCAUAUUUGAAUGCAUGUAUGUGUAUACAUGUAUAUAUACAAGCACACAUGUAUGUGAAUCUAAUGUUAUCAGAGACAAUAGCGUAAGUAUAAAAGGGUGUUGGAAUCGAAAAUUUGGCCUAACCAUUUCAUUAGACUGCUUUCCUACAAAAUGCUUUCAUGAAAGUAGAGUGUAGUUAUGGUAAGCCAAUAAAUAGCAAUUUCUCCCUCUCAGCAAACAAGGAGAUGUUUAUUUGCCUGCCCUCUCAUACACACAUGACCUAAGAAUGCUUUCCUUGUGUAACUCUGUGUUGACCUUAUUUAUACAUACGAAAGAAAAUCUCUACUGGAGUCACUUAU